Molecule: transfer RNA, 67 nt
Filed under: Megacopta caliginosa
Lineage: Eukaryota; Metazoa; Arthropoda; Insecta; Hemiptera; Plataspidae
Description: tRNA-Tyr
Source: RNAcentral
GAUAAAGUGGCUGAAGUAUUUAGGUAAUAAAUUGUAAAUUUAUUUAUGGCAGUGUUGCCCUUUAUCA